This is an RNA transcript of Fulmarus glacialis (Northern fulmar), 369 nucleotides long. It is a transcript of the gene named ATP-sensitive inward rectifier potassium channel 8 pseudogene, with no coding region annotated. The record is from RefSeq and is a predicted model, not a curated record. NCBI's taxonomy places the organism in Eukaryota, Metazoa, Chordata, Aves, Procellariiformes, Procellariidae. The transcript has a single exon.
AUGUUGGCUCGGAAGAGUAUCAUCCCUGAAGAGUACGUGUUGGCACGGAUCGCUGCCGAGAACCUGCGCAAGCCGCGCAUCCGAGACCGGCCACGCAAAGCCCGCUUCAUCGCCAAGAACGGGGCAUGCAACCUGGCACACAAGAACAUCCGUGAGCAGGGGCGAUUCCUGCAAGACAUUUUCACCACCUUGGUGGACCUGAAGUGGCGUCACACGCUGGUCAUCUUUACUAUGUCCUUCCUGUGCAGCUGGCUGCUCUUUGCCAUGAUGUGGUGGCUGGUGGCUUUUGCCCACGGCGACAUGGACCCAAGCACUGAAAGCACUACGAACAGCACGAAGUGGACACCAUGCGUGACGUGUGUCAGGUAA